ACCUGGGUGGCUCAGUUGGUUGAGCAUCUGACUUUCGGUCAGGUCACAAUCUUGCAGUUAGUGAGUUCAAGCCCCACAUCAGGCU
This 85-nucleotide transfer RNA is filed under the name Felis catus (domestic cat). It matches the Rfam family "tRNA". From Rfam's summary of the family: Transfer RNA (tRNA) molecules are approximately 80 nucleotides in length. Their secondary structure includes four short double-helical elements and three loops (D, anti-codon, and T loops). Further hydrogen bonds mediate the characteristic L-shaped molecular structure. tRNAs have two regions of fundamental functional importance: the anti-codon, which is responsible for specific mRNA codon recognition, and the 3' end, to which the tRNAs corresponding amino acid is attached (by aminoacyl-tRNA synthetases). tRNAs cope with the degeneracy of the genetic code in two manners: having more than one tRNA (with a specific anti-codon) for a particular amino acid; and 'wobble' base-pairing, i.e. permitting non-standard base-pairing at the 3rd anti-codon position. RNAcentral also lists the same sequence under 3 other names. Lineage: Eukaryota; Metazoa; Chordata; Mammalia; Carnivora; Felidae. The record is from Rfam by way of RNAcentral.